GAUGAACGCUGGCGGCGUGCCUAAUACAUGCAAGUCGAGCGAACAGACGAGGAGCUUGCUCCUCUGACGUUAGCGGCGGACGGGUGAGUAACACGUGGAUAACCUACCUAUAAGACUGGGAUAACUUCGGGAAACCGGAGCUAAUACCGGAUAAUAUAUUGAACCGCAUGGUUCAAUAGUGAAAGACGGUUUUGCUGUCACUUAUAGAUGGAUCCGCGCCGGAUUAGCUAGUUGGUAAGGUAACGGCUUACCAAGGCAACGAUGCGUAGCCGACCUGAGAGGGUGAUCGGCCGCACUGGAGCUGAGACGCGGUCCAGACUCCUACGGGAGGCAGCAGUAGGGAAUCGUCCGCAAUGGGCGAAAGCCUGACGGAGCAACGCCGCGUGAGUGAUGGAGGUCUUCGGAUCGUGAAACUCUGUUAUUAGGGAAGAACAAAUGUGUAAGUAACUAUGCACGUAUUGACGGUACCUAAUCAGAAAGCCACGGCUAACUACGUG
RNAcentral lists this ribosomal RNA (497 nucleotides) under uncultured bacterium. RNAcentral's name for it is "partial 16S ribosomal RNA". It matches the Rfam family "Bacterial small subunit ribosomal RNA", at positions 28 to 507 of the family's 1533-position model. The record is from RNAcentral.